Long non-coding RNA from Labeo rohita (rohu), 1330 nucleotides. RefSeq lists it as uncharacterized. The record is from RefSeq and is a predicted model, not a curated record. Lineage: Eukaryota; Metazoa; Chordata; Actinopteri; Cypriniformes; Cyprinidae. The transcript is spliced from 4 exons.
AAAUACUGGAUGUGUUCGGUCGUUCAUUCAUUUGACUUGAAGUGCGCUGGGUUCUAUGACAUCAAAGGACUGUGAGAGCAAUUUCGAAAGCACAAGGAGCCGUCCACCUGUAGACCCGAAGUUCCAGCAGUUCGGCACCUUUAAAAAAAUCGCUCGUGCUUAUUAAAAACGUGAUCCUGUAGCAUCAGUAACCAUCACACAGAGUAGACUACAAGAAGUACUCCCGGAAACCAAAUUGAACGGAAAGUGGGUGAUGUUAACUGUGACAAGAUGAUUGACAGGACAAGCAAAAGAGUGUCCGUUAUAGACGCAGCUACGACGCAGUAUUAUGUCCAAAAGCUUGCCAAUUAUUCUGCCUCAUAUUCAAAAAUGCUGUUUAAUCUGUGAUCUGACACUGUUAAUAAAUGCAGGCAGUACUCCAGCAUGAUUUGAAGUGUUCAAGGACCAUCUGACUCAUACAGUGUCACAUGAUUUAUGACACUCAUUUAUUGUUUGACUAAUGACAUACAAAUCCAGAAAGUGUAAUAAAAAUAAUACAGAUUUUAUGUGCUGUCUCAGACAUUCGGACCCUUUAAAGUUAGACCUUAAAUUUAUUAAACCCUGAGAAAAGCUGCAUUUUCUAGUCUCUCCACAUCAGGUAGUUGAACACACUGAAAGAAGCUCUGUCCUCUUGAACUGCAGUCACAGAAACAUUUUACUUGAAGAAAAGGAACAGUCCACUGCAGACAGAGUAAAACCAGAAGUGUUUAUGAUGUUAUCCAUUAUUUUGUCUUAAGAAGGGCCAUGUCUUUCUCAGACUCCCUGAUCUUCAGCUCUCUACCUCUGUUUGUCCCUGGUUUGAGAAUUUAACACAGUACACAACUGGUUGUCAAAUGUGUGUAAUAAAUCCUAACUUGGUACAUUUGGUCAUUAGCUUUAACUAGUUUAACAUUUUGCUUCUAUUCCUAUUGUUUGUGGGUUUACUUUGACAGAGAGGUCAUUCAUAAAAUACAGAACUAAUGAAAUAAGAAGCCAUGGCACAGAGGCAAGGCUGGGAUGGACUCUGCACCUUCUAAUUCUUUCAUCUGGAUUGAUUGCACUUUAUGUGAACAGGCCUUUCUGGCCGUUCUCUUGUCAGUGAAGCACAGAGAGUGAAACAAAUUUUCCAUAAUAUGGCUCCAUUCAGACUGGAUCUGCACUGAUAUACAAAUUCUAGCUGAUGCUAAUUGCACUUUAACUCUUCAGUUAUAAUCUAUGGUUGUUAACUAUUUAAUAAAAUCUGUUUUCAGCUGUGUUCUUGUAUACUUGUAUUUUAUGUACUGCACUGCUAAUGUUUUUCACACUACAAACU